RNAcentral lists this ribosomal RNA (2906 nucleotides) under Edwardsiella ictaluri. RNAcentral's name for it is "bacterial LSU rRNA". It matches the Rfam family "Bacterial large subunit ribosomal RNA". The record is from RNAcentral. Lineage: Bacteria; Pseudomonadati; Pseudomonadota; Gammaproteobacteria; Enterobacterales; Hafniaceae.
UUAAGUGACUAAGCGUACACGGUGGAUGCCUAGGCAGUCAGAGGCGAUGAAGGACGUGCUAAUCUGCGAUAAGCGUCGGUGAGCUGAUAUGAAGCAUUAUUAGCCGGCGAUGUCCGAAUGGGGAAACCCAGUGCAAUCCGUUGCACUAUCGUUAAGUGAAUCCAUAGCUUAACGAGGCGAACCAGGGGAACUGAAACAUCUAAGUACCCUGAGGAAAAGAAAUCAACCGAGAUUCCCCCAGUAGCGGCGAGCGAACGGGGAAGAGCCCAGAACCUGAAUCAGUUUGUGCAUUAGUGGAAGCGUCUGGAAAGUCGCGCGAUACAGGGUGAUAGCCCCGUACACGAAGGUGCACAGCUGUGAGUUCGAUGAGUAGGGCGGGACACGUGUUAUCCUGUCUGAAUAUGGGGGGACCAUCCUCCAAGGCUAAAUACUCCUGACUGACCGAUAGUGAACCAGUACCGUGAGGGAAAGGCGAAAAGAACCCCGGCGAGGGGAGUGAAAUAGAACCUGAAACCGUGUACGUACAAGCAGUGGGAGCAUCCUUUUGGGUGUGACUGCGUACCUUUUGUAUAAUGGGUCAGCGACUUAUAUUUUGUAGCAAGGUUAACCGAAUAGGGGAGCCGUAGGGAAACCGAGUCUUAACUGGGCGUCUAGUUGCAAGGUAUAGACCCGAAACCCGGUGAUCUAGCCAUGGGCAGGUUGAAGGUUGGGUAACACUAACUGGAGGACCGAACCGACUAAUGUUGAAAAAUUAGCGGAUGACUUGUGGCUGGGGGUGAAAGGCCAAUCAAACCGGGAGAUAGCUGGUUCUCCCCGAAAGCUAUUUAGGUAGCGCCUCGUGAACUCAUCUUCGGGGGUAGAGCACUGUUUCGGCUAGGGGGUCAUCCCGACUUACCAACCCGAUGCAAACUACGAAUACCGAAGAAUGUUAUCACGGGAGACACACGGCGGGUGCUAACGUCCGUCGUGAAGAGGGAAACAACCCAGACCGCCAGCUAAGGUCCCAAAGUCAUGGUUAAGUGGGAAACGAUGUGGGAAGGCACAGACAGCCAGGAUGUUGGCUUAGAAGCAGCCAUCAUUUAAAGAAAGCGUAAUAGCUCACUGGUCGAGUCGGCCUGCGCGGAAGAUGUAACGGGGCUAAACCAUGCACCGAAGCUGCGGCAGCGACGCUUAGGCGUUGUUGGGUAGGGGAGCGUUCUGUAAGCCGUUGAAGGUGGCCUGUGAGGGCUGCUGGAGGUAUCAGAAGUGCGAAUGCUGACAUAAGUAACGAUAAAGCGGGUGAAAAGCCCGCUCGCCGGAAGACCAAGGGUUCCUGUCCAACGUUAAUCGGGGCAGGGUAAGUCGACCCCUAAGGCGAGGCCGAAAGGCGUAGUCGAUGGGAAACAGGUUAAUAUUCCUGUACUUGGUGUUAUUGCGAAGGGGGGACGGAGAAGGCUAGACCGGCCGGGCGACGGUUGUCCCGGUUUAAGCGUGUAGGUGUGAUGACCUGGCAAAUCCGGUUAUCUUUAACACUGAGGCGUGAUGACGAGGCACUACGGUGCUGAAGUGGUUAAUGCCCUGCUUCCAGGAAAAGCCUCUAAGCUCCAGAUAACACUGAAUCGUACCCCAAACCGACACAGGUGGUCAGGUAGAGAAUACCAAGGCGCUUGAGAGAACUCGGGUGAAGGAACUAGGCAAAAUGGUGCCGUAACUUCGGGAGAAGGCACGCUGGCAUGUAGGUGAAGUCCCUCGCGGAUGGAGCCGAAGCCAGUCGAAGAUACCAGCUGGCUGCAACUGUUUAAUAAAAACACAGCACUCUGCAAACACGAAAGUGGACGUAUAGGGUGUGACGCCUGCCCGGUGCUGGAAGGUUAAUUGAUGGGGUCAGCCGCAAGGCGAAGCUCUUGAUCGAAGCCCCAGUAAACGGCGGCCGUAACUAUAACGGUCCUAAGGUAGCGAAAUUCCUUGUCGGGUAAGUUCCGACCUGCACGAAUGGCGUAAUGAUGGCCAGGCUGUCUCCACCCAAGACUCAGUGAAAUUGAACUCGCUGUGAAGAUGCAGUGUACCCGCGGCAAGACGGAAAGACCCCGUGAACCUUUACUAUAGCUUGACACUGAACAUUGAACCUUGAUGUGUAGGAUAGGUGGGAGGCUUUGAAGUGUGGACGCCAGUCUGCAUGGAGCCGACCUUGAAAUACCACCCUUUAAUGUUUGAUGUUCUAACCUGGUCCCGUGAUCCGGGAUAGGGACAGUGUCUGGUGGGUAGUUUGACUGGGGCGGUCUCCUCCCAAAGAGUAACGGAGGAGCACGAAGGUUAGCUAAUCCUGGUCGGACAUCAGGAGGUUAGUGCAAAGGCAUAAGCUAGCUUGACUGCGAGAGUGACGGCUCGAGCAGGUGCGAAAGCAGGUCUUAGUGAUCCGGUGGUUCUGAAUGGAAGGGCCAUCGCUCAACGGAUAAAAGGUACUCCGGGGAUAACAGGCUGAUACCGCCCAAGAGUUCAUAUCGACGGCGGUGUUUGGCACCUCGAUGUCGGCUCAUCACAUCCUGGGGCUGAAGUAGGUCCCAAGGGUAUGGCUGUUCGCCAUUUAAAGUGGUACGCGAGCUGGGUUUAGAACGUCGUGAGACAGUUCGGUCCCUAUCUGCCGUGGGCGUUGGAAGAUUGAGAGGGGCUGCUCCUAGUACGAGAGGACCGGAGUGGACGCACCGCUGGUGUUCGGGUUGUGAUGCCAAUUGCAUUGCCCGGUAGCUACGUGCGGAAAAGAUAAGCGCUGAAAGCAUCUAAGCGCGAAACUUGCCUCGAGAUGAGUCUUCCCUUGGACCUUGAGUCCACUGAAGGAACGUUUAAGACUAAGACGUUGAUAGGCUGGGUGUGUAAGCGUAGCGAUACGUUGAGCUAACCAGUACUAAUGAUCCGAGAGGCUUAACCUU